AUGACAGAGCAGCCUUGCUGCCCUAAGAGUGCUCUCAUCCUGUGUGAGCAGCCCCUCUCCUGCUCUGUCUGCACCUCUGCCACCAGCUCCUGCUGCCCUUUGUGGAGCCUUGCAGCUGCUGAGCAAACCCAGUGGGACCUUCUCUUGUGGCUGGUCACCUUUCCCGUGGCUCAUCUGGCAAAACCCAAGAACUCAUCUGGGGACAUCAUCACCUCUGCCUCGGCCGUGGCAAAGGACAGCUCAGCCUCGUGGUGUGGCUGCGGUGAAGCCUGUGGAUGGUCGCUGGACAGAAAGCUGCAGAGACCGCUCCUGGGGAAGUCCCGGACGCUGCCCAGCAUCCCGCAGUCCCCGGUCCUGAGCAGGCUUCCCCUCCUUGACUCCACGGCAUAUAGGGAGGAGAUGCCGGAGCAGAAGUCCUACAAGAAGCACUCGGCCUCUGAUGGCCAGAAGGGCUGCACGGUCCCAUCUGCCGGUGAGUGCCAGGGAGAGCUUUGUGCCCGUUCUGCCUGGGGGCCAGCAAAAUCUUACCCAACGUGUCCUUGUUCUGCAGGGGUGCGAACAGCAAGGUAAAUCCAAUCCCUGUCUGUAGGGGGUUUAUGCUGCCUCAAAAACAAAUGUUCUUGGUGAGAUUUAUUUUUUUUUUUUAUCCACUUCUGAGGCUUUCUUUGAGCCUGUUAUUUAAACCUUCCCACCUUUUAUUACACCGAUGAAAAAGCCGCAUGGGGCUGCAAGAGCCCUUGGCUCGGAGGUGAUGCUCGGAGCAUCAGAGCUGGGUCUCCUGGCCACAUGUGAACUGCUGCUCCGGGUUCCUCCGGCCUCCCCAACAGACCCAGGUGCCUUCCUUCUGCAGCAUCAAGUGGCUUCAGGGUGCCCGUUGCUGUCCCCAUGGGGAGCAGAGGCUGGGUGGCACCGCGUGGCUGUGCCGUUGUCCUGGCCCGCAGUGGGGGUUUGCUGUGGCAGAUGCUCCCAGCCUGGGAGCGUGUGUUGGCCUUCGUGUCAACAGAGGAUUUUUUACUGUGUUCUGCUCUUGUGCUGAUCCUGAUGAAAUACUAAUAUGGUUGGACCAGCUGCUCUGAGCAAGUUUAUUGGCAAAACUGUUGAUGGGCAAAGUGUUUCACGCUUCUGGUGCCAGCAGAAUCACGCUGGGGCCAUAAGAACGAUGGGGAAAGCGAUUAGCACUGAAACAGAGAUAAGGCUCGCCAGCCAGGGCUGACAAUCCAGUGCAAAAUAAAACCCUUAUAAAAUAGCUCCCGUCUACCA
RNAcentral lists this long non-coding RNA (1260 nucleotides) under Anas platyrhynchos platyrhynchos (common mallard). Its description in RNAcentral is "lncRNA (ENSAPLG00000020998.1)". The record is from RNAcentral. Lineage: Eukaryota; Metazoa; Chordata; Aves; Anseriformes; Anatidae.